CAUUUUGUAGCUUAAAAUAAAGCCUUAAACUUUUAAUUUAAAGAAAAAUAAAAUUUCAAAUGA
Molecule: transfer RNA, 63 nt
Filed under: Regioscalpellum regium
Lineage: Eukaryota; Metazoa; Arthropoda; Thecostraca; Scalpellidae
Description: tRNA-Lys
Source: RNAcentral